UGGACAGAUUAUUGUAUUCGACUAUAUUCACGACAUGAACAGGGGUUACACUGUUUUUAAACAGAAAGUGAAUCAAUUAACAUAAUAGACUCCU
This 94-nucleotide microRNA precursor is filed under the name Nicotiana sylvestris (wood tobacco). Its description in RNAcentral is "MIR6152 microRNA precursor family". It matches the Rfam family "MIR6152 microRNA precursor family". Lineage: Eukaryota; Viridiplantae; Streptophyta; Magnoliopsida; Solanales; Solanaceae. The record is from Rfam by way of RNAcentral.